CUCUUGAACUUGGAUAGAACAUUCCUGGAAGUUGUCAUUUGGGAAUUUAAUGAUCUGUGGAUUCUUUCACAUCUAUUUUACCCUCUUGUUCAAGAAUAUUAGGUUGUCACUGACCAUGAGGACUCUCUACCUGAUGUAUAUGGUGCUUUUUUUGGUAUUUCCCUAUGCUGUCAAAGGGAUGUUGAAACAUAGAGGCUAUGCUCAAUGUGAAUCGGGGGGUGGCCGUUGUUUCAUUCAUUGUCGAAGACCAUAUACACAAUCUGGCUUCUGUGAUGGUCCACAUGUUAAAUGCUGCAAACGUUAGCAAACAGAGACAGAAAAGAAGAGUGCGUCCAGACUCUGUGGUAUAAACGAGUGAGAGUAUUAAAUAGGAGAGAAGUUUAAAUGCAUGGAAUAUGCUAUGCUUAUAUUAAUAAAGGAAAAUUCAUUUGGAAACUUGGUUUUCUA
Molecule: long non-coding RNA, 447 nt
Organism: Monodelphis domestica (gray short-tailed opossum)
Lineage: Eukaryota; Metazoa; Chordata; Mammalia; Didelphimorphia; Didelphidae
Source: Ensembl